This is a long non-coding RNA of Planococcus citri (citrus mealybug), 1446 nucleotides long. RefSeq lists it as uncharacterized. The transcript has 3 exons. NCBI's taxonomy places the organism in Eukaryota, Metazoa, Arthropoda, Insecta, Hemiptera, Pseudococcidae. The record is from RefSeq and is a predicted model, not a curated record.
AUUUAGGGUACUGGUCGACAUUCGGGCACCUUACCCUUACCCUUGAAAAGACGAAUUAUGCUGGCGACGCUGGCGUACCUCCUUAUCACAUGCAAAAUGUAAACACGUUCAAUUUGUUGCAUGUGUUCUGUCAACUGCCAGAAAGACGAUGAUUCACUUCACUCACACUUUGUAUAUCUGUUUCAUUUGAUUGGCUUUUCUGAGACAAAAAUACAGAGGGAAAAAAAUCGUCAUUCAUCGUGACAAAAAAGAGUCGAUAGCAGAAAAAAAUUAAGGGGAACGGACUGAAAAUUAAUUAUUCAUCAGUAUUUAUAAUGAAGCUGGAAGUGGGUACUUGAGCGAGCCUAAUAUACGAUAUCUAUAUUAGAAACUGAACUAUUAAUUAAAUUCUAUUGAUGAGUGAAGAUAAAAGAUGUAGUUUAGGUAUAGUACGUAUUUCAAUUUAGCUCAACUCAAAGCAAUUCAGUCUGAAAUAAUAUUAUACUUAUUAUUACAUUUUAACAGUGAAUCAUCCCAGUGAAACAUAUGGUAAUCGUCACACUCGAUGUUAUUUUAGUUGAAGCCUAGGUAUACCUACCUAGUUCCAAAAAAUGGCGAAAAUAUAUUUUGUCGUUUCUGCGUUGAGUGAACUGUAACUGUUUCACUACCAUGUAUUCGUAAGUAGUUCCUCCAGUAGUGCGACUAACAAAACUAUACAAGCUAUAACCAACAUGAAAAACGAAUCGAGUAACAUGGCUAAGGAGGAUGAGAAAAAUCCGGGAGGGAUUCUGAGUGCAAUACUGGAUAAGAAUUUUGAUAACUUCACAAUACGAAUGACGUGCCAAUUUUGGGACGAUCAAUUCGUACUUGAUGUCCUCUCUUUCGGAUCGGGAUUUGUAACCGAGAAUGAAUGUAUAAAAGUACGGCAGGAAAAAAAAGGAAAGAAACAAGUGAUCAUGGACAUCACAACACCUCGUACGACGAAUAUGAAAGAAAUAAAUCAACUUGCAUCCAAAUAUACUGAUGGAGUAAAAAGUUUUGGUCCGCGUGACUGGAAAAAAUUUUUGAACAUUCCAAACAUUUUCGAUUCAUGGUGUCGAAGCUUCAAUACCUCAAUUAACCUUGGAUUAAAAUGUGACCCCGUGUUGCUUUAUAAAUUCCUCCCUGCUGAGGCGAUAAAUGAAGUCAGGCAUAUAAUUCAGCAGUAUUAUUUUUUCUGUCGGGAUUAUGGAAACAACGCAACCACGAUAACUCGAGAACACACAAUUGAAACAAGGCGAAAAAUUUAUAAAGUUAUGCUUCAAAGCGAGUUUUUAAUAAAAAUCUUUUUGCAAUUGAGACGCAACUUUUUCCAGUCCAGAAUUCAGCCAAUGAGAAGAUAUUAAGUUAAAAUUUUUCUAUUUAUCUCGUAACAUAAAGAUUAUGCUGACGUACCUACUUGAAAAAUGAGAAGUACUUACCGACGUA